RNAcentral lists this unclassified non-coding RNA (197 nucleotides) under uncultured Thelephoraceae. Its description in RNAcentral is "sequence contains ITS1". Lineage: Eukaryota; Fungi; Basidiomycota; Agaricomycetes; Thelephorales; Thelephoraceae. The record is from RNAcentral.
CCGAAUUGUCAACACGAGCUGUUGCUGGCCCUUCAAGUGGGGGGUACGUGCACGCUCUGUUCACACAUCCAUUUACACCUGUGCACCCUCGCAGUUCCAUGGUUUGGGGGGCCCUGUCCUCCUUCUGUGGCUCUGUUCCUUUACACACACCGUAUGAAGUCUUUGGAAUGUUUGCCGCGUUUUAACGCAAUACAAUA